RNAcentral lists this ribosomal RNA (634 nucleotides) under uncultured bacterium. RNAcentral's name for it is "bacterial SSU rRNA". It matches the Rfam family "Bacterial small subunit ribosomal RNA", at positions 28 to 675 of the family's 1533-position model. The record is from RNAcentral.
GACGAACGCUGGCGGCGUGCUUAACACAUGCAAGUCACGGGGGCCCCGCGAGGGGGUAACCGGCGAACGGGUGCGUAACACGUGAACAACCUGCCCUCGUGUGGGGAUAGCCGGGCUAACGCCCGGGUAAUACCGCAUACGUCCUCUCGGGGGAGUCCUCGAGGGGGGAAAGCUCCGGCGCACGGGGAGGGGUUCGCGGCCUAUCAGCUUGUUGGCGGGGUAACGGCCCACCAAGGCGACGACGGGUAGCUGGUCUGAGAGGAUGGCCAGCCACAUUGGGACUGAGAGACGGCCCAGACUCCUACGGGAGGCAGCAGUGGGAAUCUUGCGCAAUGGUCGAAGACUGACGCAGCGACGCCGCGUGUGGGAGGACGCCUUUUCGGGGUGUAAACCACUGUUGCCCGGGGACGAACUCGCUGAUUCGUCAGCGUUGACGGUACCGGGUGAGGAAGCACCGGCUAACUCCGUGCCAGCGGCCGCGGUAAUACGGAGGUGCGAGCGUUGUCCGGAAUCAUUGGGCGUAAGGGCGCGUAGGUGGCCCGGUCAGUCCGUGGUGAAAGCGCGGGCUCAACCUGCGUCGGCCAUGGAUACUGCCGCGGCUGGAGCACUGUAGAGGCAGGCGGAAUUCCGGGUG